Molecule: ribosomal RNA, 355 nt
Filed under: uncultured eukaryote
Lineage: Eukaryota
Description: partial 18S ribosomal RNA
Rfam family: Eukaryotic small subunit ribosomal RNA
Source: RNAcentral
CCCUUAGAUGUUCUGGGCUGCACGCGCGCUACAAUGACGACUUCAACAAGUUUCCUUUAUAUAUUAAAGGUAAUUCUUUGUCGGAAGACAUGGAUAAUCUUUUAAAACGUCGUCGUGAUGGGGCUAGAUUCUUGCAAUUUUUGAUCUCUAACGAGGAACUUCUAGUAAACGUGGGUCAUUAUCCCACAUUGAUUACGUUACUGCCCUUUGUACACACCGCCCGUCGCACCUACCGAUUGAAUUUCUAGGUGAAAACUUGGGACGUUGUUUUGCCGAGAAAUCUUCGGGUUUCUAUGUUGCAUUACGAUGAAACUUGUUUAAACCUUGCAAUUUAGAGGAAGGUGAAGUCGUAACA